UGAUCCUGGCUCAGGAUGAACGCUAGCGGCAGGCUUAACACAUGCAAGUCGAGGGGUAACAUUGUAGCUUGCUACAGAUGACGACCGGCGCACGGGUGCGUAACGCGUAUAGAACUUACCUUUUACAGAGGGAUAGCCUUUAGAAAUGAAGAUUAAUACCUCAUAGUAUUAUUGAUUGGCAUCAAUUAAUAAUUAAAGAUUUAUCGGUAAAAGAUGGCUAUGCGUCCUAUUAGCUAGAUGGUAAGGUAAUGGCUUACCAUGGCUACGAUAGGUAGGGGCCCUGAGAGGGGGAUCCCCCACACUGGUACUGAGACACGGACCAGACUCCUACGGGAGGCAGCAGUGAGGAAUAUUGGGCAAUGGAGGUAACUCUGACCCAGCCAUGCCGCGUGCAGGAAGACUGCCCUAUGGGUUGUAAACUGCUUUUAUACAGGAAGAAACACUCGUACGUGUACGAGCUUGACGGUACUGUAAGAAUAAGGACCGGCUAACUCCGUGCCAGCAGCCGCGGUAAUACGGAGGGUCCGAGCGUUAUCCGGAAUCAUUGGGUUUAGAGGGUCCGCAGGCGGUCAAUUAAGUCAGAGGUGAAAUCCCAUAGCUUAACUAUGGAACUGCCUUUGAUACUGGUUGACUUGAGUCAUAUGGAAGUAGAUAGAAUGUGUAGUGUAGCGGUGAAAUGCAUAGAUAUUACACAGAAUACCGAUUGCGAAGGCAGUCUACUACGUAUGUACUGACGCUCAUGGACGAAAGCGUGGGGAGCGAACAGGAUUAGAUACCCUGGUAGU
RNAcentral lists this ribosomal RNA (785 nucleotides) under uncultured marine bacterium. RNAcentral's name for it is "bacterial SSU rRNA". It matches the Rfam family "Bacterial small subunit ribosomal RNA", at positions 14 to 794 of the family's 1533-position model. The record is from RNAcentral.